UGGGGAAUAUUGCACAAUGGGCGCAAGCCUGAUGCAGCCAUGCCGCGUGUGUGAAGAAGGCCUUCGGGUUGUAAAGCACUUUCAGCGAGGAGGAAGGUGGUGAACUUAAUACGUUCAUCAAUUGACGUUACUCGCAGAAGAAGCACCGGCUAACUCCGUGCCAGCAGCCGCGGUAAUACGGAGGGUGCAAGCGUUAAUCGGAAUUACUGGGCGUAAAGCGCACGCAGGCGGUUUGUUAAGUCAGAUGUGAAAUCCCCGGGCUCAACCUGGGAACUGCAUUUGAAACUGGCAAGCUAGAGUCUCGUAGAGGGGGGUAGAAUUCCAGGUGUAGCGGUGAAAUGCGUAGAGAUCUGGAGGAAUACCGGUGGCGAAGGCGGCCCCCCUGGACGAAGACUGACGCUCAGGUGCGAAAAGCGUGGGGAGCAAACAGGAUUAGAUACCCUAGUAGUCCACGCUGUAAAACGAUGUCGAUUUGGAGGUUGUGCCCUUGAGGCGUGGCUUCCGGAGCUAACGCGUUAAAUCGACCGCCUGGGGAGUACGGCCGCAAGGUUAAAACU
RNAcentral lists this ribosomal RNA (557 nucleotides) under uncultured bacterium. RNAcentral's name for it is "partial 16S ribosomal RNA". It matches the Rfam family "Bacterial small subunit ribosomal RNA", at positions 355 to 901 of the family's 1533-position model. The record is from RNAcentral.